RNAcentral lists this ribosomal RNA (245 nucleotides) under uncultured bacterium. RNAcentral describes it as "partial small subunit ribosomal RNA". It matches the Rfam family "Bacterial small subunit ribosomal RNA", at positions 26 to 285 of the family's 1533-position model. The record is from RNAcentral.
AGAAUCAACGCUGGCGGCGUGCCUAACACAUGCAAGUCGAACGAGAAAGUGGAGCAAUCCAUGAGUAAAGUGGCGCACGGGUGAGUAACACGUGACUAACCUACCCUUGAGUGGGGAAUAACUGAGGGAAACCUUGGCUAAUACCGCAUAAUACCUACGGGUCAAAGGAGCAAUUCGCUUAAGGAGGGGGUCGCGGCAGAUUAGCUAGUUGGCGGGGUAAUGGCCCACCAAGGCAGUGAUCUGUA